UAUUGGAAAUUUCGUCGAUACUGCCUUGGGCUGUCUUACUUUUGAGAAAAAGCCGCUCACGCCUCUCACAUCCAUCUGGCGAACAUCGUUGACCAGGUAUCCUAUCACCGGUUCAUGCUUCAAUCUUGUUUGUGUGCUCUGCCAUACACCUACACUCGAUAACAGGCCAUGUUACAUGAACGGUUAGUCUGGCAUCCAAUAAAUUUGGUUCUGUUCUGCAUUACGAGCGCAGUUUUAGCACUGAGUAUACAAGUGUUUUUGAUUAGGGGUACCAGUAUCUCAGCUGUUGAAAUAGUAGAUGGAAUGUAUUGUGAGGUUUGGGCAAGAAACGCUGUGGAGUACGUGACAUCAUUCACCACCGUGUAUAAAACAGCAGCAGCCAACCUCAUCUUCAAAACAAGAGAAGAAGGUUGGCGGAGGG
This 421-nucleotide long non-coding RNA is filed under the name Physcomitrium patens. RNAcentral describes it as "long non-coding RNA (PPAT_LNC000903)". Lineage: Eukaryota; Viridiplantae; Streptophyta; Bryopsida; Funariales; Funariaceae. The record is from RNAcentral.